Molecule: ribosomal RNA, 500 nt
Filed under: uncultured bacterium
Lineage: Bacteria
Description: partial 16S ribosomal RNA
Rfam family: Bacterial small subunit ribosomal RNA
Source: RNAcentral
AUUGAACGCUGGCGGCAUGCCUUACACAUGCAAGUCGAACGGCAGCACGGGAGCAAUCCUGGUGGCGAGUGGCGAACGGGUGAGUAAAGUAUCGGAACGUGCCCAGUCGUGGGGGAUAACGUAGCGAAAGUUACGCUAAUACCGCAUACGAUCUAUGGAUGAAAGCGGGGGAUCGCAAGACCUCGCGCGAUUGGAGCGGCCGAUAUCAGAUUAGGUUGUUGGUGGGGUAAAGGCCCACCAAGCCGACGAUCUGUAGCUGGUCUGAGAGGACGACCGGCCACACGGGGACUGGGACACGGGCCAGGCUCCUACGGGAGGCAGCAGUGGGGAAUUGUGGACAAUGGGCGAAAGCCUGCUCCAGGCAUGGCGCGUGCAGGAUGAAGGUCUUCGGGUUGUAGACUGCUUUGGAACGGAACGAAAAGGACUGCCUUACUACGGUGGUCCCAUGACGGUACCGUAAGAAUCAGCACCGGCUAACUACGUGCCAGCGGGCGCCGCAG